ACAAGGUCAGCUAGGCAUUGAAGAGUGAGAGUGGAAUGUUGGGUGUAUAAGCAUUCUGCUUAAAGGGUUUGAUUCAUUCCUCAAGUUCUAUGGAUACAGGAAGAGGCACCAUUCCAAAGUUCAUACGAAAGGUUCUCUCUGGCAAAUGCAGAAUUCAGAGAGAAGAUGACCUGUGACAUCCCCAGAUAGGAGUGACAAGCAGCAGAGUGAGGUCUUAUUCUCCUGGUAGGCAUAGAUAACCUGGCCAUUCUGGGCACCUCCCUAGUACCUUGCUGGGGAAGGACUCAAGAUACCAAAUUAGGGGAGAACCUGAGACCUAGUGCAGGAAAUAAUUGAAGUCAGACAAGGCACAUUGCAAUAGUCUUUCCAAAGCCAGAGGUUCCAAAUGACUACCUCUGACUUCACAGGUUUUUAUAUUUUAGUUUAUUCACAGCCAGCACACCUACAUUGCUAUUCCACAAAUGCCUGAAGCUAAAUGUGAAAAAUUUUCCCAGUGUCCUGGGAUCACCAAGGGACAAAGCUGUGGAAUUUGUAAAGAUGACCCAAGCUCCUGGAGUUAUGCCAGUCACCCUUGAUGAGACUGGAGAUCAGCUCCAGGACCAAACUGUUGUUUUAAAACCCUCCACACCAGAGGUCACAAGAAGCCAAUCUCAUAGCAUGGAGAAGAAGGCAGAAUUAGCGUUCCAGUGCACUCAGCUCCUCAGUGACUUGUGCUUGGAUGGCUGAAGCUUCAAAUUGCUAUGCUAAAUACAUCAAGUAAUUCACAUAGGUAAUAAAUUUAGGAACACAACAGUCUUCCUGCAAAACUACUCUCUCUUCUGCCUCUCCCUAAGAAAGAAAAAUAUAAUUUCAACUUUGUCUUCUCUC
This is a long non-coding RNA of Gorilla gorilla gorilla (western lowland gorilla), 867 nucleotides long. RefSeq lists it as uncharacterized. NCBI's taxonomy places the organism in Eukaryota, Metazoa, Chordata, Mammalia, Primates, Hominidae. The transcript is spliced from 2 exons. The record is from RefSeq and is a predicted model, not a curated record.